CAUGGGCCUAGCUGGCCCUUAAUUGGGUUGGCUCAAAUCCAAACCCAAUUACGUGCUAACUAUGAUUCCUCAAACAUUUGCUAAGCUAAACAAGUCCCUAUGUCUUGGUUUCUUCCAGCAAUGUUCCGGUGGACUCCCGGUAAGCUCCUGGACUUCACGACAAUCUUCCUAACGAGUUCCGACGAGCUUCUCUAGCAAGCUCCGAGACUUCUCGG
Molecule: long non-coding RNA, 215 nt
Filed under: Musa acuminata (dwarf banana)
Lineage: Eukaryota; Viridiplantae; Streptophyta; Magnoliopsida; Zingiberales; Musaceae
Description: long non-coding RNA (MACU_LNC004592)
Source: RNAcentral